AGAGUUUGAUCCUGGCUCAGAGCGAACGCUGGCGGCAGGCCUAACACAUGCAAGUCGAGCGCCCCGCAAGGGGAGCGGCAGACGGGAGAGUAACACGUGGGAACGUACCCUUCAGUUCGGAACAACCCAGGGAAACUUGGGCUAAUACCGAAUACGUCCGCAAGGAGAAAGAUUUAUCGCCGGAAGAUCGGCCCGCGUCC
This 200-nucleotide ribosomal RNA is filed under the name uncultured bacterium. RNAcentral describes it as "partial 16S ribosomal RNA". It matches the Rfam family "Bacterial small subunit ribosomal RNA", at positions 8 to 238 of the family's 1533-position model. The record is from RNAcentral.